Molecule: transfer RNA, 64 nt
Filed under: Macroglossum stellatarum
Lineage: Eukaryota; Metazoa; Arthropoda; Insecta; Lepidoptera; Sphingidae
Description: tRNA-Cys
Source: RNAcentral
AGUCUUAUAUUCAAUAAUGAUAUAAAAUUGCAAAUUUUAAGGAGUAAAAAUUUUACUAAGGCUU